GCGCUAAUAGCUCAGUUGGGAGAGCGUCAGACUGAAGUCCAUUCGGUCAUAUCCACAUCCGGGGUAAUCUGAAGGUCACCCGUUCAAUCCGGGUUUGGCGCA
Molecule: transfer RNA, 102 nt
Filed under: Sphaerosporella brunnea
Lineage: Eukaryota; Fungi; Ascomycota; Pezizomycetes; Pezizales; Pyronemataceae
Rfam family: tRNA
About the family: Transfer RNA (tRNA) molecules are approximately 80 nucleotides in length. Their secondary structure includes four short double-helical elements and three loops (D, anti-codon, and T loops).
Source: Rfam by way of RNAcentral